AAUGAACGCUGGCGGCGCGCCUAAUACAUGCAAGUCGAGCGAGAAGACGUAGCAAUACGUUUGUAAAGCGGCGAACGGGUGAGGAAUACAUGGGUAACCUACCCUCGAGUGGGGAAUAACUAGCCGAAAGGUUAGCUAAUACCGCGUACGCUUCUUGGACUUCGGUUCAGGGAGGAAAGCGAUACCGUGGGUAUCGCGCUCUUGGAUGGGCUCAUGUCCUAUCAGCUUGUUGGGAGGUAACGGCUCACCAAGGCUUCGACGGGUAGCUGGUCUGAGAGGACGAUCAGCCACACUGGCACUGCGACACGGGCCAGACUCCUACGGGAGGCAGCAGUAAGGAAUAUUGCGCAAUGGGCGAAAGCCUGACGCAGCGACGCCGCGUGGGGGAUGAAGGUCUUCGGAUUG
Molecule: ribosomal RNA, 405 nt
Filed under: uncultured bacterium
Lineage: Bacteria
Description: bacterial SSU rRNA
Rfam family: Bacterial small subunit ribosomal RNA
Source: RNAcentral